This 473-nucleotide unclassified non-coding RNA is filed under the name Xylophilus ampelinus. RNAcentral's name for it is "partial miscellaneous RNA". The stretch from base 100 to 173 matches the Rfam family "tRNA". Lineage: Bacteria; Pseudomonadati; Pseudomonadota; Betaproteobacteria; Burkholderiales. The record is from RNAcentral.
GGAAACUGCAGUUAAAUUUGAACGCCCACACUUAUCGGUUGUUGGAAGGAUGUCGCCGGCGACGUUGGAUCAUGUGUCCGUGUCACUAGUGACCGGCUUGGGUCUGUAGCUCAGUUGGUUAGAGCACCGUCUUGAUAAGGCGGGGGUCGUUGGUUCGAUUCCAACCAGACCCACCAUCGCCUCCAGGAUCGUAGAGUUUCGUUGGGGGAUUAGCUCAGCUGGGAGAGCACCUGCUUUGCAAGCAGGGGGUCGUCGGUUCGAUCCCGUCAUCCUCCACCAAUGAUUGUCAGGUGGUAGUUGUGUGUUGUUUGGUAAAUAGGUGGUUAGGCGAGUAGUGGGCUGGGUGAGUAGUUCAACACCAAAGUGGCUUUGUAAGAGGCCUCUUUGUUGUUGAUCGAUAUUGUUCGAUCAAUCGGCUGUUCUUUAAAAAUUCAUAGAGUCGAAUCAGCGUUGCUGGUGGAAAGAGGGUCAUA